This 602-nucleotide unclassified non-coding RNA is filed under the name Aspergillus janus. RNAcentral describes it as "sequence contains 18S rRNA gene, ITS1, 5.8S rRNA gene, ITS2, 28S rRNA gene". The stretch from base 231 to 384 matches the Rfam family "5.8S ribosomal RNA". The record is from RNAcentral. Lineage: Eukaryota; Fungi; Ascomycota; Eurotiomycetes; Eurotiales; Aspergillaceae.
AGUCGUAACAAGGUUUCCGUAGGUGAACCUGCGGAAGGAUCAUUACCGAGUGAGGGUCCUUGUGGCCCAACCUCCCACCCGUGUCUAUCUGUACCCUGUUGCUUCGGUGGGCCCGCCGCCUGUCGGCCGCCGGGGGGCUCUCCAGCCCCCGGGCCCGUGCCCACCGAAGACCCCAACUGAACCCUGUUCUGAAAGCUUGCAGUCUGAGUUGAUUAUCAUUAAUCAGUUAAAACUUUCAACAAUGGAUCUCUUGGUUCCGGCAUCGAUGAAGAACGCAGCGAAAUGCGAUAACUAAUGUGAAUUGCAGAAUUCAGUGAAUCAUCGAGUCUUUGAACGCACAUUGCGCCCUCUGGUAUUCCGGAGGGCAUGCCUGUCCGAGCGUCAUUGCUGCCCUCAAGCCCGGCUUGUGUGUUGGGUCCUCGUCCCCCUUCCCGGGGGGACGGGCCCGAAAGGCAGCGGCGGCACCGCGUCCGGUCCUCGAGCGUAUGGGGCUUUGUCACCCGCUCAGUAGGUCCGGCCGGCGCCUGUCGACCCCCAACCUUUUAUUUUUUUCAGGUUGACCUCGGAUCAGGUAGGGAUACCCGCUGAACCUAAGCAUAUCA